CACAUAUGCAUGCAUACAUACAUAUGCAUACACCUACACAUGCACACACAUACACAUAUAAACUUUAGUAGUCUGACCAUCUAAUUUGCCUUUAGAGAGUCCUCUAACUCCUAAGCUAUUGUCAGAGAUCCCUGAAGGUCAAAUUGGUUUUGCCAUGUUCACAAAGUUUGAGGGUUAGGAAAUCGGGCAGGGCACAGGAAAACCGUGACCUCUGCUCAGUGGUAUCUGGGGUCUCAAUGGAGAGCUCCAAAGCCUGGACGUCAGAGCCCUUUUAAGUCUCAUUCACUGGCAUGUCAGGCAGCUGCUGCCUCGGGGUUGACUGAAGUCCUCAGUCCCACCACACACAGGUCUUGCCGUGCGGUCACUGCUCUGUGUUAAUUUGGGUCUCCGGUGUAGAACUGCAUUGUGGCAUCGAGGACAGGUGUUCUGACGAGAUGCAAGGAGAAACUCUGUCACCUUUUCCGAUGUAGCUGUAAAAGUCACACCUUACCAUUUCUGUCGUAAUCGCUGUCUCAUCCACAGUCUAGGAAAGAGGAGACAGACAGCCCACCCCCUAUGCCUUUCCACAGAGCGAUGCCAGCUGCACCCUGCAAAUGUGUGGACGAGAUGGAAUAGGGAGAGAACAUGCAUUCUGCCACAAAUAGGAGCACAUUUUCAUCAGUACUUGCUGGUCACCUUCAUGAAGAUGUGGUAGUCACAGUGUUUGAAGGAAUAUGCACCCACACGUGAACACAUCAAAUUGUGUACCCUGCAGUAUCCAGUACAACGCCCUGUGCCCUCGGGAAGGCUGUCUGAAUGUCAGCUCCCUCCUCAGCAGCUUUGUCCGUGAACCUGAGCGUCAACACCCCCUUGUCUAUGGCACAGACCUUAGAGCCUGGUGCGUGGUGCGUGCCUAUCCUUCCAGCCCUAGAGACGUAGACGCCUGAGGAUCGGAAGUUCAAGGUCAUCUUCAGCUUGCGUGGAGUGUUCCCAGCCAGCCUCAGCUGCAUAAAAACCCAAAUAAAAGUGAAGAUGGACAUCAGACAAGUGUAUUCACUAGAGCUUCAUCUCACCCCAGACUUUUGUUUGGCAGCUUAUUUUUAAAAAGUGUGUUUUCAAGUUAGCAUACAGAGGGACGUGUUUCCUUAUGGCACUUUUGUACACAUGUGUCACUGUGUUCUGAUUCGUCCCCUCUGCAUCGGCUGCCCCCAUCUCCCUCACAACUCUUCCUGGUUCCCAUCUCAAGCAGACCCAUGCUUUGAUUUCAUAUCGUAUCUUCUCCAUUACUCUCCCCUUUUCCCCUCCUUGGUCCUUAGAACCUCUACCACCCCUCUCACUGUCCCUUUUCUAUUUUCACAACCUACAUGUACAUGAACUCACAUGUACACAUACAUACAUACAUACAUACAUACAUACACACAUGCACAUACAUACACACAUGCACACACUUGCAUAUAUAUACACACAUGCACACAAUAUACAUGUAUACCUACAUACACAUAUACAUGUAUAUAAACAUGCACACAUAUGUGUACAAACAUGCAUACAUACACAUGUGAACACACACAUACAUACCUGCACACAUGUGCACACACAUAUACAUGUAGACACAUGCACAUACACAUGUGUACACAUACGUGCACACAUGCACACACUCAUGGACAUAUACACACAUGCACACACACACACUCCCCUCUAAAGUCCACAUAUAAGAAAAAAAGUAUGAUAUUCAUCUUUCUCAGACUAGCUAUGGCACUUAACAUAAUGAUCCAGCCUUUUUUCUGCAUAAAUAUGAAUAAAUUCUAUUAUUUAUAUGUACUACAAUCAUCCAUCUUUUGGUGGAUAUCUGAGCUUGCUUUCAGUCCUAGAUACAAUGAAUAGUGCAACAACAUAGACGGAUCUCUGAAGUAUGUUAACUUAGGUUCAUACUCGCAAGUUGUAUAGCUGCAUCAUCAUACCGUACUUCUAUUUGGAAUGGGUAUAAAUUGUUUCAUGUAUUUAUUUUUAUUAUGUGUGGGUGUGCAUGUCACAGUGACUGUGUGGAGGAGGUCAGAGAACCAAUUUGUGAGUCGCCUCUUUCUUUCCACCUUUACGUGGGAUCUGGGGAUCAGAGUCUAGCCAGACUUGCACAGUGAGCUGCUUCACCGGCUGAGCUGUCACACCGACCCUACUGGUACUAUCUUGAGAACCCACCACACUGGCGUACGAAGCAUACAGUACAUAGUGGCUGCAGUCUCUGUGUUCCUACCAGCAGGGAGGAAGUGCUGCUGGAGCCCUCUCCACUUCCCCUACAUCCUUCCCAGCCUCUGUCUGUUCUCUUGAGUCAGUGGACUUUCCCAGUAGCAGACAGACACUGCAUGCUACAGUACAUAUCUGCCAGACAAGGUGUGCCGAUUGGCAUAAUAGUGGGUAACUGUUGGAGAGGGGAACGCGCUGCUUUUUUUUUUUUUAAUUGAGAUUUGAAGCUACAUCUGCAGAUGGGAAUGCUACUGUAAACCUGGUUCUUGAAGCCCAUAUCUGGGAAGGUCACGUAUCCUGGCUGGGGACCUGCCACUGAUGCUUUGCUGAAUGUACCUGUUGUCAGACUGUCCCCUGGGUAUUUGUAUUUGUACCCAUAGACUUAGUCCUGGUCAGGGAAGCUUCUCUGUGCCAUGGGCAGAAAUGAUUGCGGAGGCACAGAACUGGUGAAAGUGCUGUGAAUAACCAAUGGCUGUUGGGUGUGCAGCCUUAAAUGCGACAUCUGCCUCAGUUGACUCCCUCGAGGCUCAGAGAAGAUAGUGCAAGAGGUGACAGGAACAAUAUACAAGUUAGAAGAUGGGGAGGAUUGCUGAGAAACGCCAUCUUCUGGACACAACAAGGCCCUCGCACUCAGGAACUCACACCAGCUAUGGCCAUCUGCAUAAGAGAUGGACAAAAUCAAGCCAGUCAGCAUUCAAGCUUGGAUGAGGGCAGGGUUCCUGGGGCACCAUCCCUAAUUGAAGAGCUAUUGAUAAUUGGUGGCCUCUGGGGAACAUGAUAAUUUUUCUUUGGGAGUGUGGCUAACGUUAGAUUUUCCAUGGUCUUAUGGAUGGCCCUGUAUCUCUCGGUGUUCAGGUAGCACUAGUUAGGCUCAGUGGUUAUGAAGGAGAAGGAGAAGGAGACGAAGAAGAGGAGGAAGAAGGUGAUAGUUUGAAUAGGUAUGGUUCCUAUAAACUUGAGUGUUUGAAUGCUUGGCCCAAUAGAGAGUGGCACUAUUAGGAGGUGUGGCCAUGUUGGAGAAAGUAUGUCACUGUGGGGUAGGCUUUGAGAUCUCCCAUAUUCAAGCUAUGCCCAAUGUGGAACACAGUCCCCUUCUGCUGCCUUUGGAUCAAGAUGAAGAACUCUCAGCUCCUUCUCCAGCACCAUGUCUGUGUGAGUGCUGCCAUGCUUCCUGCCAUGAUGAUGAUAGACUAAACUGUAAGCCAGCCACAAUUAAAUGUUUUUCUUUAUAAGAGUUACCACGGUCAUGGUGUCUCUUCACAGUAAUAGCAACCCUGAGCCUAAGAGGAGGAAGAGGAGCAGCAGCAGCAGCUAGAACGCUGGCUUAGCAAUCAACAGCACUUGUUGCUCCUGCAGAGGACUAGAGUUUGGUUCCCAGAAUCCACAAUGGGCGCCUCACAACCUCCUGUAGUUUCAGCUCCCGGAGAUCCAGUGCCCUCUGCUGGCCUCUGUGGGUACCUGCACUCACGUGUGCAUGUCCUCACUUGGGCGCACAUAUACACAAUUAAAACUAAAAAUUAAAUAAAAGGAGAGGACCUGAGGCUGAGAGGGCAAGUGUUGAGGGAGUGGGAGGAUUGGAAAGGGGACUUGUAAUCCAAGAUACACGGUAUGCAAGUAUGAAAUCUCAGAGAAUACAUUUUUUUAUUCUAAAAAAUAUUAAAACAUGGUGUAUUAUUAUUAUCAUUAUUAAUUUUUAAAAAAGGAACAACAAAAAUUACUUAAAGUAUGAAGGAAUAAGUGUAGAGCAAGCAAGAUAAUAUUUUAUAAUAAAAUGUAGGCAAACAAAAAUAAAUGCUUGAAGGGGAAUUUAAGAGGCACAUAAUUUUAAUAUGAAGUAAAAGUACUAGUGGAGGUGUGAUGAAAAAUGGGGGAGGGGUAAAGAAGUAAGAAGAUAAGAAAAGCCAAGAUGAAGUGCUGGAGCAGCUUUGUUCUGGAUUCUCACUCUGGAAACUGCCCAGUACACGGUCAGUGAGGCCAUCAGGCGCUCUUGUGGACUCACGUCAUCCCUGUGGCUUGUUGGUGCUGAGCUUGUGUCAUCCUCUGUCAUAUCUGACUUCACUGUAAUAGUUCUCCAUACAUUCACACCAGGGGCCUCUGCUGGCCACACGUAGCUUUUCUUGUUGGUCCAGGCACCUGGGCGACUCCCCAGAGUGGCUAACGAUGGAGUUGGUGAGUGUCUCCCAGUGUGUUGAGUACCAGAAGCAAGCACAGCACCUUAGAGACUGACAGCCUGUCUUUGCUCUUUGAGGAUUCCUUAGGUGUUAAUUAUCCCACAAGAGGGUCACAGCUUCUGUUGAGUAGAAGUCUGGAGUUUCAGACGUUCCAGGCUCUGGUGGUGGACGGUAGAUCGUUGGCUGCAGAAGUUGGUCUACCCCUGAGCUGUCAAACUGCAGGGUCUAGAGCUAGGCUGCCUUUCCCUCAGCAAUUUUCGAUGUAAGUCAAGCCUCAAGCCACGGGUGCUUUCCAACUUGAUCCCUUCCCUCCCCUCCCCAUGACCAGACACCACUCUGCACAACUGCCUUCUAUGGCCAUCUUUCACUAUAGAGCUGUAGCAAAGUCAACUCAGGCUCCCUUCCUUUCAUCACUGUGGUAGGCCACUCACUGCUCUCCCAGUCACACGGGGUGACAAAAUGGGGUUCCUCCUUAUUGCGGACCCAUUUGCUGGAGGAGCCUCAGUCUCACCAACAACCAAACUUGCCUCAAGGCUUGUAAAGGGUUGUAGGCUUGUCGUGAAGAUAAGACUCCCCAUAGCUUCUACAAGCCCCACCCCAUCGCCACAUACUGGAGGUGGCUGGGCAAAGAUUUGCCAUUAGCUCCUUCCAUCCUGGAGUUGUGAUCAGUUCAUCUUGGCCUCUUUUCCUGCUGACACCAUUUUUUUCUACACUGCCACUGCCUUUGGGAACUUCAGAUGUUCCUUCUUGAUCCCUCUUUGGAGUAGAGUUUUCUACCUUUUUUUUUUUUUAAGAUUUAUUUAUUUGAUGUAUGCAGGUACACAGUUGCUCUGUUUAGACACACCAGAAGAGGACAUCAGAUCCCAUUACAGUUGGUUGUGAGCCACCAUGUGGUUGCUGGGAAUUGAACUCAGGACCUCUGGAAGAGCAGUCAGUGUACUUAACCACUGAGCCAUCUCUUCUACCUUUUUAAAGAGAGCAGUCUCCUCUCAUUUCAGGUGGCAGGAACAAGGACCCCAAAGAGGGUUCGUAGGUGAGAAUGAGAAGUUAGUUGCCUUUGAAAGUGAGAAACCAAACACGUCAGGACCCCAGGACGAAGUUUCUCUAAGAAGAUGCUUAUUGUCUGAUGGAAAGCAUUGUGUCUAACCAUUCCCCUAAGUGGCAUUAUAGCCAUGCUGCCAGGAACUGAUCCUGAGUCAGACAGAGCAGGAGGAAGACUUAGAAAUGCAUUUCUCUGAGGAUGGAGCAGGGUCACAAGCCGUUGCAGCAUACUGUCUCCUCGCCAGUUCUUGAAAGAAGCACACUGAUUGCAGAGAUGCGACCUUGGUUUUCCAAGAGAGGGCACAAGAAGCAGGGCAUGUCCUUAGCUCCAAAGCAGGAAGCUCGGAAUAGGGAGAACUGGGCAUCUGGACAAGAAGGGAGUGUGGGGCGGGGCUAAUACUGUGUAAAACAGGCGUGGAGACACACUGCUGUCAGCCAGCGCGUGGGAAGCAGAAACAGGAGCCUGAAAAGGUCAAGGAUAUCUAACUUUAUAGGAAGCUUGACACCAGUCAUAGCUCGGGGGGUUCCACUCCAGAGUGAGACCUGGUCUCAAACCAAACCAAGAACAAAAAGCAACAACAAGCACAGCUUGUACGAAGGAUGCCGCAUGGACCACUAUGACCUUGAACAACUUCAACCUCUCCAUCUCUCUUCCCCGUUCUUUUUAAUGUUUAAAACGUUGUUUAUGUCCGGGGUUAGCAUAGACUUGCAUAUACUAUGUCCCACUAGGUCAGAGGGCAACACUUUGGAGUUGGAUCUCUUGUCCCACCUUUUUGUGGGUUCUGGGGAGCAAGCUGGGGACAUCAGGCUUCACAGCAAGCCCUUUGAUCGGCUGAGCCACUUCACUGCCCCUCAGUCUCCUGCUGCUGCUGGAGAUGAUGAAGCUUGAACACCCGGAUUAAUUAGACCCUGACAUUGGCCAGCGGCGCUGUCCGUGACAACGAUGGUGCUAAGCCGUGGAUUUAUACUUAGGCUCUCGCCCCAAGGAGAUGCUCAGGUCAGAGCUCUAAAGUUUCAGGCAAACCCUCCAGCCUGAGUGCCUAAGAGACAAGGGAGUUUGGGUGACAGCCUUUUUUUGCAUCCUCUUUGAGAAUGCUGCUUUUUAAUGGAGUUUACAUUUCUAUUCAUCUAUAAUGAUCUUCCACAUAGAGCUGAGGACUCUAGGAAGGACCUGAGAUGGGCUUCAGAAAGCAUUUAGACAUAAAUAACCUGGGCGGUCAAGAUGUGAGAAAA
Mus musculus (house mouse) is the source of this 6662-nucleotide long non-coding RNA. RefSeq annotates it as predicted gene, 53634. The record is from RefSeq and is a predicted model, not a curated record. The transcript is spliced from 2 exons. NCBI's taxonomy places the organism in Eukaryota, Metazoa, Chordata, Mammalia, Rodentia, Muridae.